RNAcentral lists this ribosomal RNA (460 nucleotides) under uncultured bacterium. RNAcentral describes it as "bacterial SSU rRNA". It matches the Rfam family "Bacterial small subunit ribosomal RNA", at positions 917 to 1382 of the family's 1533-position model. The record is from RNAcentral.
GACCCCGCACAAGCGGUGGAUCAUGUUCUUUAAUUCGACGAUACGCGAAGAACCUUACCAGGUCUUGACAUCCCCUGCAAGAGCUUAGAGAUAAGCUGGAGGUUAUCAGGGAGACAGGUGGUGCAUGGUUGUCGUCAGCUCGUGUCGUGAGAUGUUGGGUUAAGUCCCGCAACGAGCGCAACCCUUAUUGCUAGUUACCAUCAUUAAGUUGGGGACUUUAGCGAGACUGCCAGUGACAAACUGGAGGAAGGUGGGGAUGACGUCAAAUCAUCAUGCCCCUUAUGACCUGGGCUAGAAACGUGAUACAAUGGCUGAAACAAAGGGAAGCAAAAGAGUGAUCUGGAGCGAAACCCAAAAAAGCAGUCUCAGUUCGGAUUGAAGUCUGCAAUUCGACUUCAUGAAGCAGGAAUCGCUAGUAAUCGCAGAUCAGAACGCUGCGGUGAAUACGUUCUCGGGGUUU